This 104-nucleotide small nuclear RNA is filed under the name Cervus hanglu yarkandensis (Yarkand deer). Its description in RNAcentral is "U2 spliceosomal RNA (ENSCHYG00000018882.1)". It matches the Rfam family "U2 spliceosomal RNA". From Rfam's summary of the family: U2 is a small nuclear RNA (snRNA) component of the spliceosome (involved in pre-mRNA splicing). Complementary binding between U2 snRNA (in an area lying towards the 5' end but 3' to hairpin I) and the branchpoint sequence (BPS) of the intron results the bulging out of an unpaired adenosine, on the BPS, which initiates a nucleophilic attack at the intronic 5' splice site, thus starting the first of two transesterification reactions that mediate splicing. Lineage: Eukaryota; Metazoa; Chordata; Mammalia; Artiodactyla; Cervidae. The record is from Rfam by way of RNAcentral.
AUCACUUCUCGGCCUUUUGGCUCAGAUCAAGUGUGGUAUCUGAAAAUUGAGGAAACAUAAACAAAUCCAAAGUUGAAGUCAAUUCUAUAAAAUAACUAACCUAU